UUAAUUUUUUUUUUUUUACAAUUUUUGUUUUUUUUAUAAUAUGUUAUAUUUUAGUUCAUAAAUUUUAAUUUUUAUAAUUUUUUGAUGGAAUUUUUUGAAUUAUUACAAUUAAAUCUCACAAUUUAAUUUUAACCGAUUAAAUAUUAAUAUUCGUUAAUGUAAAUGUGAUGUAAUAAUGUUCUGUUUAAUAAUGUGAUAAUAAUUAAGAUAUCAUAUCACUUUCAUAACAAUGUCAUAUCAAUAUUUAGUCAAUUCAAUUGAGUUGUCAAACUUUAUUGCAAUAAUUUAUAGACUUCGAAUUAGAAAUUAUAAUAAAUAAAAGGCUAAAAUACAGGAAAUCUCGUGUAAUUGUAAAUACCCAUUUUGUAAUUUUUUUGUUGACUUUCAAAAAUAUAUAUUUUGCCCCCUUAACAUUUUAAAAAUAUUUUCAAGUGUGCUGGCGUUAAUGAAGAGCAAAAUGACCAAAUUAUUCUUACUUAUUUUAUUAAAAAAAUAAUUUUUAAUAUAUUUUUAUUAUUUUGAAGAAUAUUUUUAAUAUAAAUUAUAAAAAAUAAAUGAAAUAAUAAAAAAAUCUUGAUGGUGGGGGAAUUAAUAUAUCAACUUGAAUUUUAAGAGGAUAAAAUAUAAAUUUUAUAUUUUA
This 640-nucleotide long non-coding RNA is filed under the name Ananas comosus (pineapple). RNAcentral describes it as "long non-coding RNA (ACOM_LNC027250)". The record is from RNAcentral. Lineage: Eukaryota; Viridiplantae; Streptophyta; Magnoliopsida; Poales; Bromeliaceae.